AACGAACGCUGGCGGCAUGCCUAACACAUGCAAGUCGAACGAGACCUUCGGGUCUAGUGGCGCUCGGGUGCGUAACGCGUGGGAACCUGCCCUUAGGUUCGGAAUAACUCCCCGAAAGGGGUGCUAAUACCGGAUAAUGUCUUCGGACCAAAGAUUUAUCGCCUUUGGAUGGGCCCGCGUUGGAUUAGCUAGUUGGUAGGGUAAAAGCCUACCAAGGCGACGAUCCAUAGCUGGUCUGAGAGGAUGAUCAGCCACACUGGGACUGAGACACGGCCCAGACUCCUACGGGAGGCAGCAGUGGGGAAUAUUGGACAAUGGGCGAAAGCCUGAUCCAGCAAUGCCGCGUGAGUGAUGAAGGCCUUAGGGUUGUAAAGCUCUUGUACCCGGGAUGAUAAUGACAGUACCGGGAGAAUAAGCUCCGGCUAACUCCGUG
This 433-nucleotide ribosomal RNA is filed under the name uncultured bacterium. RNAcentral's name for it is "partial 16S ribosomal RNA". It matches the Rfam family "Bacterial small subunit ribosomal RNA", at positions 29 to 507 of the family's 1533-position model. The record is from RNAcentral.